GACGAACGCUGGCGGCGUGCUUAACACAUGCAAGUCGAACGGUGAAGCGCCUUCCUUUUUGGUUGGUGUGGAUGCGUGGCGAACGGGUGAGUAACACGUGAGUAACCUGCCCCCUUCUUCUGGAUAACCGCAUGAAAGUGUGUCUAAUACGGGAUAUUCUGGGUCUGUCGCAUGAUGGGUCUGGGAAAGAUAUUGUUUCGGUGGGGGCUGGGCUCCGGGCUGUUCGGGUUGUUGGGGGGGUGAUGGCCUUCCACGGCGGUGACGGUUAGCCGGCGUGGGAGGGUGGACGGUCAGAGUGGGACUGAGGCACGGCCCAGACUGCGACGCGGGGCAGCAGUGGGGAAUAUGGCACAGUGGGGGAAAGCCUGAUGCGGCGAGGCGGCGGGAGCGAUGGCGGCGUGCGGGGGGUGAACCUCUUUCGCCAGUGAAGCAGGCCUGCCUGGUAUGUGGGUGGGGUGACGGUAGCUGGAUAAGAAGCGCCGGCUAACUACGUG
RNAcentral lists this ribosomal RNA (494 nucleotides) under uncultured bacterium. Its description in RNAcentral is "partial 16S ribosomal RNA". It matches the Rfam family "Bacterial small subunit ribosomal RNA", at positions 28 to 507 of the family's 1533-position model. The record is from RNAcentral.